GAGAAAUCCCCUCCUAUGUAUCUGCCUACAUUACUAUUUCGAGAGGUUAUAAUUAUCCUACUGCCAAUUUUUGAAUCACAUUCAGGAAGGACAAGUUUUAGAUCAUCCCAAAUUUCAACAUCCCAAAUGUCAUCUAAGAGAAUAACAUACCUUUUUAUUUUCAAGAGUGAUCGUAGGUUGCCCUCCAAGUUAUCUUUCCUUUCCUCUUCCGUCACUCCAACUUGUUUGGCUGUGUCAUGUAAGAUUUCUCCCGCCCUUGGCUGUUGUGAAACAUAGACUAGUCCCGAACACUCAAAUUGAUCACGGACAUGCUUAUAAAGUUUCUUGGCAAGAGUUGUUUUUCCCAAACCGGGCAUGCCAAC
Solanum verrucosum is the source of this 362-nucleotide long non-coding RNA. RefSeq lists it as uncharacterized. The transcript has 2 exons. The record is from RefSeq and is a predicted model, not a curated record. Lineage: Eukaryota; Viridiplantae; Streptophyta; Magnoliopsida; Solanales; Solanaceae.